UACGUAGGGUGCAAGCGUUGUCCGGAAUUAUUGGGCGUAAAGAGCUCGUAGGCGGUCUGUCACGUCGGCUGUGAAAUCCCGAGGCUCAACCUCGGGUCUGCAGUCGAUACGGGCAAACUAGAGUAUUGCAGGGGAGACUGGAAUUCCUGGUGUAGCGGUGAAAUGCGCAGAUAUCAGGGGGAACACCGGUGGCGAAGGCGGGUCUCUGGGCAAUAACUGACGCUGAGGAGCGAAAGCGUGGGGAGCAAACAGG
RNAcentral lists this ribosomal RNA (253 nucleotides) under uncultured bacterium. RNAcentral describes it as "partial 16S ribosomal RNA". It matches the Rfam family "Bacterial small subunit ribosomal RNA", at positions 524 to 776 of the family's 1533-position model. The record is from RNAcentral.